RNAcentral lists this ribosomal RNA (251 nucleotides) under uncultured bacterium. RNAcentral's name for it is "partial 16S ribosomal RNA". It matches the Rfam family "Bacterial small subunit ribosomal RNA", at positions 110 to 353 of the family's 1533-position model. The record is from RNAcentral.
GUAACACGUGGGUAACCUGCCCUUAAGUGGGGGAUAACAUUUGGAAACAGAUGCUAAUACCGCAUAAAUCCAAGAACCGCAUGGUCUUGGCUGAAAGAUGGCGUAAGCUAUCGCUUUUGGAUGGACCCGCGGCGUAUUAGCUAGUUGGUGAGGUAACGGCUCACCAAGGCAAUGAUACGUAGCCGAACUGAGAGGUUGAUCGGCCACAUUGGGACUGAGACACGGCCCAAACUCCUACGGGAGGCAGCAUG